This 505-nucleotide ribosomal RNA is filed under the name uncultured bacterium. RNAcentral's name for it is "bacterial SSU rRNA". It matches the Rfam family "Bacterial small subunit ribosomal RNA", at positions 21 to 518 of the family's 1533-position model. The record is from RNAcentral.
GGUUCAGGAUGAACGCUAGCGACAGGCUUAACACAUGCAAGUCGAGGGGCAGCAUAAAAGUAGCAAUACUUGGUGGCGACCGGCGCACGGGUGAGUAACGCGUAUGCAACCUACCUUUCAGAGGGGAAUAACCCGGCGAAAGUCGGACUAAUACCGCAUAAAACAGGGACACCGCAUGGUGAUAUUUGUUAAAGAAAUUCGCUGAUAGAUGGGCAUGCGUUCCAUUAGGUAGUUGGUGAGGUAACGGCUCACCAAGCCGACGAUGGAUAGGGGAACUGAGAGGUUGGUCCCCCACACUGGUACUGAGACACGGACCAGACUCCUACGGGAGGCAGCAGUGAGGAAUAUUGGUCAAUGGGCGAGAGCCUGAACCAGCCAAGUCGCGUGAAGGAAAGAAGGAUCUAUGGUUCGUAAACUUCUUUUGCAGGGGAAUAAAGUGCAGGACGUGUCCUGUUUUGUAUGUACCCUGAGAAUAAGGAUCGGCUAACUCCGUGCCAGCAGCUGC